AUGACGGAGCGCAUCGGCACGUUGGCAUAUCGCCUGAACUUGCCACCGGACAGCCGCAUCCAUCCCGUCUUCCACGUCUCGCAACUCAAGCCGUUCGUCCCCGACUACACUCCAGUCUUCGCGGAGCUGCCCAAGAUACCCGACCUCACGGCCGCCGACCGCGUUCCGACUGCCAUUCUGGACCGCCGCAUGAUGGAGAAAGGCGACGCCCCAGUCAUCCAAGUACAGGUGCAGUGGAGCACCAUGCCGCCGUCGUCUGCGACCUGGGAGGACUACGACGUGCUCCGGCAGCGUUACCCGGAUGCACCCCUUUGGACGGAGGAGGAUCAAGCUGCUCAAGAGGGGGCAAAUGUCACGCCUGCAGAUCAGCCUGCAGCGGACUAA
This 384-nucleotide ribosomal RNA is filed under the name Triticum aestivum (bread wheat). Its description in RNAcentral is "partial small subunit ribosomal RNA". The record is from RNAcentral. Lineage: Eukaryota; Viridiplantae; Streptophyta; Magnoliopsida; Poales; Poaceae.